Molecule: ribosomal RNA, 591 nt
Filed under: Enterobacter sp.
Lineage: Bacteria; Pseudomonadati; Pseudomonadota; Gammaproteobacteria; Enterobacterales; Enterobacteriaceae
Description: bacterial SSU rRNA
Rfam family: Bacterial small subunit ribosomal RNA
Source: RNAcentral
CUUUGCUGACGAGUGGCGGACGGGUGAGUAAUGUCUGGGAAACUGCCUGAUGGAGGGGGAUAACUACUGGAAACGGUAGCUAAUACCGCAUAACGUCGCAAGACCAAAGAGGGGGACCUUCGGGCCUCUUGCCAUCGGAUGUGCCCAGAUGGGAUUAGCUAGUAGGUGGGGUAACGGCUCACCUAGGCGACGAUCCCUAGCUGGUCUGAGAGGAUGACCAGCCACACUGGAACUGAGACACGGUCCAGACUCCUACGGGAGGCAGCAGUGGGGAAUAUUGCACAAUGGGCGCAAGCCUGAUGCAGCCAUGCCGCGUGUAUGAAGAAGGCCUUCGGGUUGUAAAGUACUUUCAGCGGGGAGGAAGGUGUUGAGGUUAAUAACCUCAUCAAUUGACGUUACCCGCAGAAGAAGCACCGGCUAACUCCGUGCCAGCAGCCGCGGUAAUACGGAGGGUGCAAGCGUUAAUCGGAAUUACUGGGCGUAAAGCGCACGCAGGCGGUCUGUCAAGUCAGAUGUGAAAUCCCCGGGCUCAACCUGGGGAACUGCAUUCGAAACUGGCAGGCUAGAGUCUUGUAGAGGGGGGGUAGAAUU